AUCAUGGCAAUGAGGAAAAGAGUAACUGUCUGAAAGCGCAAAGAGAGUUCCCGGAAGGUGAGAAGGGAAACACCGUAAGAUAGUGAAGUGCAUUUCUGAGCUGGCGCGCCGAACGAAGUAGGCGGCCCGGGAGACGCCCGUUACAGCGCAGGAGUGUAUGGAGCCUGACCGGGUCCCAUAAGCACUUCAAAAGGCCUUGCGGGGUGACCCCAGGGCGAAUCAGGGUGGUAAUCACGGAGCUUCCGUCCCUUGA
This 253-nucleotide non-coding RNA is filed under the name Dialister sp. RNAcentral describes it as "T-box sequence". It matches the Rfam family "T-box leader". From Rfam's summary of the family: Uncharged tRNA acts as the effector for transcription antitermination of genes in the T-box leader family. T-boxes are found upstream of many aminoacyl-tRNA synthetase genes and some amino acid biosynthetic genes usually in Gram-positive bacteria. Lineage: Bacteria; Bacillati; Bacillota; Negativicutes; Veillonellales; Veillonellaceae. The record is from RNAcentral.